Molecule: long non-coding RNA, 21124 nt
Organism: Homo sapiens (human)
Lineage: Eukaryota; Metazoa; Chordata; Mammalia; Primates; Hominidae
Exons: 2
Source: RefSeq, a predicted model, not a curated record
UUUUUUGAGACGAAAUCUUGCUCUGUCGCCCAGGCUGGAGUACAGUGGCGCGAUCUCGGCUCACUGCAAGCUCCACCUCCUGGGUUCAUGCCACUCUCCUGCCUCAGCCUCCCGAGUAGCUGGGACUACAGGCGCCCGCCACCACGACCAGCUAAUUUUUUUGUAUUUUUAGUAGAGACGGGGUUUCACCGUGUUAGCCAGGAUGGUCUCAAUCUCCUGGCCUCGUGAUCCGCCCGCCUCGGCCUCCCAAAAUGCUGGGAUUACAGGCGUGAGCCACUGCGACUGGCCAUGGUUCCUUUUUAAGAGCAACCCCCUUUAACCAACAUUAAGGUAGGAUCUCUAUUCAGGGACAUGUGCUAUUAUUGUGACAGUCAUUCUAAAAAUUUUGGGUGCCUUUUUUUUUUUUUUUUUUGAGACAGGACCUCACUCUGUCACCCAGGCUGGAGUGCAGUGGUGCAGUCAUGGCUCACUGCAUGGCUCACUGCAGCUUCUACCUCCCAUGCUCAAGUGAUCCUCCCACCUCAGCCUCCCGAGUAGCAGGAACUAUAGAUGCUCACCACCACACCCAGCUAAUUUUUUCAAUUUUUUUUUGUAGAGACAGCAUCUCUGUUUCCAGGCUGGUCCUAAACUCCUGGGCUCAAGGGAUCCGCCCGCCUCGGCCUCCCAAAGUGCUGGGAUUACAGGCAUGAGCCACUGCGACUGGCUGGGUCUCAAUUUUUAAUGAAAGAAAACCAAUAGGAAAAGCAGCAAAAGGGGGGAAAAAGACUAUUUAAAAGAGUAAGGAAAUACUAAAAAAUUUCCACAAGGAUCUAAAUCAAUAACAAGACUGAACUUUUAUUUUUGAAGACUUAAGGAAAAUUAACUUCAAGCUGUAGAGGUAGACAGAAUUUUACAAAGGAUAACCUGAGCUACCAGGAAACAUUUAUGUGACAGUAAAUUUAAGAGUUCCUUCCAAAGAAAUAGAGUUUGAUAGAGGUAAUCAUGCAAAAGCAUGACUGGGCUGGUACUGAAAGGUAUCCUUCCAUUUAGACCAAUGUAGGGCUCGGAAAGUACAGCUGGAGAAGAAAUACAGUUUUACAUAUUCUUUUCUAAAAAAAUUCAAUCUGCUUUCUCAAGUUGAAAUGUUUUAUAUAUUCUUAAACAUCCAGGGAGGGGUUGGGAAUGGUGGCUGCCAGAGCACCUAGCACUCAUCUCCCUUUCCUAAUAACAAUCUAAUUUCCUUUUGGCGGAUUAUCUUUUCCCAGUAGGAUACAGUCUGUGGAUAUUGCUGGCAAUUAGGAGGUUUUUGACCCAAGUUGGGCCAAUCAGAUGCUCCCUUCAAUGGAAGGUGAAUUUUGAACAGAGGGACAAAAAGAAUGGAGAUGUCAGGAGUUUCAUCCCAUCCAAGUGGAGUGUCCUGACCAGACCUGUGGGACUCUUGUGAGCCUUGUGUUUCCUGCUUCCUAGUUUCUGGAAUUUGCCUGCUUCUUACCCAUUUCUAAGACUGCUUCUUCAGCCUUCCCUCAAUCCUGUGGGACCUCUAUAUCCUUCUUUUAAACUCUGGCUUACAUUAGCCAGAAGCAUUUCUGUUGCAUGCACCCAAAGAACCUCAGCACACACAACAAUACCAGUGCACUGUGGGUCCUGAUCUCUGGUCCAAACCUCCAAGUGCUCCUAGAGACCUUUCAUGUGCCUGACCCUAGUGAGCAUGUAUCUCACUGAGAGUUAGGAGAGGCUUCACACAGAAAUAGUGGUACUAUCCCAGGCUUCCUCCAUCCAGUUACACAUACUCAUUUUUUUCCUUGGUUUUCCUGAAAUGUUGGAAUGUUCCUUUACUUUUCCACUUCAUAGUAUGAGCUGUUCAUAAAACAGCCAGCAGAAUCCUAGCACUUCGGAGGGCGCUCCCAGAUGAUUUUUGUAGUUGGAAUCUGUAUGACAGUGAGUCAGCCUGGUGAUCCUAAGGCCUGCUGUAAGCUCGACGUGUCACUAUUCACAUGCUUAGAAAUUAGGUCCCAAUGCACCUGACUGCCCUUAAGAGAAGUCAGUGGAAAAGAGUGGCAGGUUUGCCAGGUGUCGGAAUGGGAAUAUGCAGAAACUAAAAAUAAUGAAGAAGGGCAAUAUGUGGGGGGUGAGGGGUGGGGGUGGGAAAUAAAAAGAUCUGGGAACUGACAGUAGAAGGUGCCUUGAUCACAAUCACAAUAGGAGAUGAACAAGAGUAUAGGACAUUAGAGGCAGCAAAUGCCCUAGGCUAGCUUUUAGACUAACUUUUGAAAUCAGUGUUCAUAUUUAUUGUUUAACUUUUAACCUCAGUCUCCACUAGAGGUCUAGCCUCCUUGGUCUUUUACCAUUACCUGGGCUUCUACUUUGAGAUUGUUCUGUACAUCCACCAACCAUGAAAAGGUGAGGUAAUUUGGAAUUUAAGAAUACAGAGGCUCCAGAACCAAACCAGAGCUAGAGUGUGUUUGAACUUUGGCUCUACAACUUGCUAGUCCCAUGAACUUAGGCAAGCUACUUAACCUUUCUGUGCCUCAAUGUUCUCAUCUAUAAAAUGGGGAGAGUAAUAAUAAUAAUAAUAACAAUAAUAAUAUAUAUAAAGCACUUACUAGUACCCUUGGCACAUUAGUGCUCAAUAAAUAUUAGCUACUAUUAAUCAAUCAAUCAACAAAUAUGUAUUGAGCAUCCACAAUGUUCCAGGCACUGUUUUAGUUCUUGGGACAGAUCAAUGAACAAAAUAGGCAAAGAUCUCUACCCUUGUGGAAUUUACAAUCUAGGGGGGGUGGGAGCGGGAGGACAGAUGAUAAGGUAUGUUGGUACUGCUAUUAAUAUCUGACCCAAUAUCCACCCACUCCACUCAGCUUUCUGGAAAUCCUCUAAAUCUUUAUCUUCUUCUUUGAACAUUCUGUUCAUCUUCGCGCCUUCACCAAAACCUGAUUGGCCCUGAGGAUGUGGUUUUUCCCCAUAGCACCCAAAAGUGUGGUUGUUUUUUAUCUCACUGUCCCAUAUCCCAGAGCCUGUAGAUAGGGAAAUGGGCUUCCUUGCUUUCCACUGCUACUUCCAAACCCUUUCUCCUCCUUUAUCCUUUAAAAACCACAGCUAUUUGGAUGCUCAUUCCUUCACAUUAUAUAACCCUUCUCCCACUGAAUUGCUGUCAUCAAUAACCUAUUAUUCAUUUAUUAAACACUUGAGCAUACAACUCCUUCCUUUCACCCCUAUUUUUGUCAUCGUUCUUGGUGACUUUAACAUCCUUGGUCUCUGAGUUCCUGACCUUCUCACUUCCAGUGAUCUAUUCUUCCACUUUCUUCAGCUACAUUAAAAUGGCCAUAGCCUAGCCUUGUCAUCACCACCUUUCAAGUCUAGAUUUCAAUUGUUAUACGCCGACCACCAUUUUCAUCCUUCCAGCCAACCUUCUGUAGUAUUUCUACUCCAAUAAUUUUUUGACCACUCAGUUAAGCUCACUUGCUUGUCUGUUUUUAUUGUUUGUUUUGUUUUGCUUUGUUUUGUUCUAUUUAUCACCUCCUCGCAUGUCCUUGUUUUCUCUUUACCCAUGAUCAAUUCCAUGGGCCACUGUUAUAAACACUGCCUUACACGCCUUUGCCCCUCUCUCCUCGUGCCAAACUCUCCUAGAAAAAUCUUCAAAUUUGGUUAAACCCAGCUACUGGCUUAGGCUGAAACAGUCCUGAAGCAAUUUAAGAUUAAUGGAGAAAGUAAUUCCACUGAGUUGACUGAUUACACUUUAAAUCUAUGACUGCAGUCCUCAAAUGAGUACUCAACAUUGCUCAGAAAGGCUACAUUUUUUUUUCCAUAGUAAAGUUUAUUUUAACUUUUCUGAGGUCACUAUUUAUCUCUUCUCCCCUCAGACCUCCAAUGAUCAUCCCCUCUCAACUGAUGAUCUCAGUUUAUGUCUUACUGAGAAAACAGAAAUAAUCAGACAGAAACUCCCUCAUCCCUCCACUGUGACAUCUGUACAACUACUGGCAUAGGAAUUGUCUUCCUUCUCAUUACAAUGGAAGAAGUAGCUCUGUUUCUCUUAAAGGCAAACACCUCUACUUGUGCUUUGCAUCCCAUCCUCUCUUGAUGUCUCCAGGACUUAUUCCUAAGUCAUCCACCUCUAUUUUCUGCACAAUCAACUUCUUUCACUCUACUGGAUUAUUCUCAACAGCAAACAAAGUGCUCAGGAAUCUCCCAUCUUUAAAAAUCCUACUUUGAUACAUUCCCCUCCAGCUACAAUCUCAGUCUCUGUCUCCCUUCCAAUUAGUUUUACCUAGUGCCUAGAAAAUGCUGUUGACUUUUGUAUAUGGAUGUUGUAUUCAGCAAACUCAAUGAAAUCUCUUAUUAUUUAUAAUAAUUUUCCUAUACAGUGGAUUCAAUGGAUUUUCUGUGUAAAUAAUCAUAUUAUCUUUAAAGAAAGAUAGGUUUGUCUGUUUUUUUUUCAAUUCUUAUACCUCAUUUCUCUUUCUUUUCUCAUUGCACUGGUAGGACUUCCAGAAUGAUAUUGAGUAAUAAGGGUGAUAGUAGGUAUCAUCUUUCUUCUGAAGUUUUAUCAUUGAGUGUGUUGUCUAUAAAGGUAUUGGUUAUAUGUUCUUUAUCAAGUUAAGGAAGUUCCUGCCUAUUCUUACUUUGCUAAGAGUUUAUGUAAUAAAGGGACUUUGAAUUCUAGAAAAUAAUUUUUUUCUGCAUCUAUAUUAAGACAUGUCAUCUCUGUUAAUAUUGUUAAUAUUUUAUUUAGAAAAAUUUCAUCUAUGUUUAUAAUGGAUUAGUCUGUUCUUGUAUUCUUAGGUUUGGUAUCAAGUGCCUAAUAAGAUGAGUCACUUUCCCUUUUCUUCUACACUCUCAAACAGUUUGUGUAACAUAAGGGUUAGCUGUUCUUGAUAGGUUGGCCAAACAUCCCAGAAAUCCACCUAUGCCCAAUGUUUUUUGGGUAGAAGGCUCUGAUUUGUGGUAGCAAGUCAUUUCCUACAUGGGUUAUUGGUUGAUUUGGAUUUUCUAAUUAAUUAUUCUUGAUUCAACUUUCAAAAUUUACUUUUCUAAAAAAAUCAUUAACUUCCUCUACUAGUAUUAAGUUGUUCAUAGAUUUGCUCAUUCUAUUUUUUAUGAUUUUUUCAUUCCAAUUGUAUCUAUCAUUAUAAAUUAUGUUCUCUUUAUAAUUCUUAAUAUUAUUUAUUGCAUUUUCUUUUUUUCUGGAGCAGCCCUGCUAGGGUUUUAUCUAUUUUACUAGUAAUUUUGAAUAAUCAACUUCUGGAUUUGUUCAUUCUUUUGUUGUUGUUUCUUUUCCAUUAAUUUCUGAUAGUUUUAUUUUGCUCUGCUUUUUUUAGGCUUAAUCUAUUGUUCUCCUUGCUUCUAGAUUUAAACACAUCUUUUAUUGAGUUUUAAAAAUCAGAUUCCACUGUGGUCAGAAAAUAUCUCUAUAAGUUAACAAUUCUUACAAAUUUGUUGAGACCUUCCUUUGUGUGGCCUGUUAUGUCAAUUUAUGUAAAUGUUCAACAUAUUUUCAAAAAAGAACAUAUAUUCUCUAUUGUUGGACUUUGGUUUUUAUUUGUUUUUGAGAUAGGGUCUCUCUCUGUCACCCAGGUUGGAGGGCAGUGGCAUGUCACCUUGUCUUACUGCAGCUUCAACCUCCCAGGCUCAAGCAAUUCUCCCUCCUCAGCCUCCAGAAUAGUCACCACAUCUGGCUAAUUUCUAAAUUAUUUUUCGUAGUGACAGGGUCUUCCUAUCUCGUCUAGGCUGGUCUCAAACUCCUGAACUCAAGUGAUUCUCCUGCCUCGGCCUCCCAAAGUGCUAGGAUUAUAAGUGUGAGCCACCAUGCCUGGCCUAUUGUUGGAUUUUGAGUAAAGGAUAUAUCAGUUUGUGGUUAUAUCUUUUAUGUUUUUAAUAAAUUUCUGUAAAAAUAAAUUUAAAUUUAACACAAUUUUACAUUUUUACAUUUUCUUAGUUUUUGCUUUACAUGUUUUGAAUUUCAAGGUUAUGUUUUUAGGGGCAUAUAGGUUCAUGAAUAUUAUCUUUUCUUAUAUCAUUAUAUAUCUCUCUAUCCCUAUUAACAUAUAUUUCCCAAGAUUCCAUUUGCCUUACUGUGACACCACCCACCUUUCUUUUGGUUAGCAUUUUGUGGUAUGUCUUUUGUCAUCUCUUUAUUUGUGUGGUUUGGCCUAAGUGGGUCUUUUGAAAAUAGCUUAUAACUGAAUACUUUAAAAAUUCUAAUCUGAUAUUCUCCAAUUUUUAAUAGACACAUUUAAUCAGCUUACAUUUAUUGUAGUUACCAUCAUAUUUGACUUACUUCUUCCAUUUUAUUUAGUUUUCUAUUUAUUUUCUUUCUUUCUUAUCUUCUCUUAGGUUUUUUUCUUCUUUCCUGUCUUCUUUCAUUUUUUUUUUGUCUUUCCUGUCUUCUCUUAGGUUGGUGAGAUUUUCUAUAUUCUGCUUUCUCCUUUGUUGGUUUAGAACCUAUAGAUUGAUGUUCUUUUCUAUUCAUAAUUACCUUAAAGUUUUACCAUACACAUUUAAUUAUAUAUGUUUCAAAGUCUGAAAUUUUCAAUAUCUUAUCCUCCUCCCUGAACAAGGCAAGACUCUUAGCACACUUUACCCAGUAAAUACUCUUUCUACUAACAUAUUAUCUCAACAUAUUACUUUUUUAUUUAACUUUUAUUUUAAACUCUAGAUUUAGUUAUUUUAUAGUCAGUUGAAGUAAGUCUAUUUUAACUUAUUUAUUUCUGUGUCCACUAUAGUUUCUUGAUUUCUAUGUCCUGCCUUGAAACUGAGUUUUUCUUGAUAUAAUACAUAUUUUAAUGGUUCUUUCAGUGAAGACUCAAGACUGAUAUAAACUUCAUUUUAAAAAAAUCCUAAAACUGUCUUUCUUUUAAAUCGGCUCUUGAAAGCUAGUUUAGCUAGGUAUAAAACUCUGGCUUUACAAGUGAUUUUUUUCCCCUUUCAGAUAUUUGAAGAUACUACUCCACUGUCUGCUGGAAUCUAUUGUUAGUAAGAUGUCUAUUAUCAAUGCAGCUAUCAUUCCUUUAUAAAUAACUCUCUUUUCUCCCUGGUAACUUUGUUUUUUUCUUUCUUUAUCUCUUUUUUUUUUUUUUUUUUUUUUUGAGACAGGGUCUUUCUCUGUUGCCCAGGCUGGAGUGUAGUAGCACAAUCAUGGCUCACUGUAGCCUUGACCUUCUGGGCUCCAGCAAUCCUCCCAUAUCAGCCCUCGAAGAAGCUGGGACUAUAGGUGCAUGCCAUUAUGACUGGCAUUUUUUUUUUAAAUUUUUUGUAGAGAUGGGGUCUCGCCACAUUGCCCAGGCUAGUCUUGAACUCCUGGGCUCAAGAGAUCCUCCUGCCUCUGCCUCCCAAAGUGCUGAGGUUACAAGUGUGAGCCACUGUGCCCAGCCACAACUUUUAAUACUAUCAUUUUUAUCCUUGAGGUAGAUAGGUUUACUAUCUCAUAUGUAUGUAUAAAAAUUGGAGCUUCUCAGUAUAUCUUCAUGCCCUUAACUCUGACUUGCACUACGUUUUGGUGGCUUCUUAAAUACUAUCUUCCUAUUCACUAAUUUUAUCUUCAUCUAUUUCAUGUCUAGAAUUUAUCCUAUCUGUGUAUUUUAUCUUUUUAAUUCAUUCUUUUUCAUAUUUGCCAAUUCUUAUUUCUGCCUGCUUUAUUUCACAAUAUCCUUUUUAAAGUAGAUGUUAUUUCUCUUUGAGUAUUUAGGCAAAUUUAGUUUAAAGUUUUAGUCAGAUUGUUCCAUUAUUUUAAUUUCUUUUGGACAAGAUUAGAUAACAAAUGUUGAUUUUGUUGACUGGUUUUCUUAGUGUUGAAUAUUUUUGCUUGGAUACUAAUUUAGAGAGUAAGGUCUUCUUUCUUCUUUCUCCUCAUUUUCUUCUAUCCUAGAGAUUUUGUAGAGGUCUCUGGUUCAGAAUCAAGUGAUGAUUUAAGAUCUUUCCCAGCUAUGGUGUUAGUGAUCUCUCCCUUAGUAGUGAAAGCAUCCUAGCUUCUGGUUGCUGGGCUGUGAUUAUUUCUCCUGCCUCCAUAGACCUACAGUUUCCUAUAAGAAAUAGUCUCAGAUAUAUCAUCAGCAGCUGUUUUUCAACGUUCUUUCCUAGUAAGCUCCACCUUACAGAUGACCUGAGGUCAAGAGUUCAAGACCAGCCUGGCCAACAUGGCGAAACCCUGUCUGUACCAAAAAAUACAAAAAUUAGCCUGGCGUGGUGGCACGCGCCUGUAGUCCCAGCUGCUGGGGAGGCUGAUGUGGGAGAAUUGCCUGAACCUAGGAGGAGGAAGUUGCAGUGAGCCAAGAUUGUGCCACUGCACUCCAGCCUGGGUGACAGAGUGAGAUCCUGUCUCAAAAACAAAGAAAAAAAGAAAGCCCCACUUCAGUGUUUCAUUUUUAGAAGUGAGUCUAACCCCAGUAAUCCACUGCACUUGAAGCAAUUUUAGUCCCUCUCAUUCCACAGGAGCCUCUAGCUGUGCUUCUGGAUUUAGAACUCAGUCAACCUGUGGCUUCAGCCUGGUUCACCAUUUCAACAUAACCCACCUAGAGAAAGAAAACCUGUAUUUGAUGAAACAGAAUAGGGUUGUGAAUUCCUUGGAGUUGGACGGACCAGGGUUUCUUCUGCAGACUUAUCACUUACUAACUGAGAGACUGGGAGCAAGUUAUCUAACUUGUUUGAUUCUUAGUUUUCUUAUUCUUCAGCUAGAAAUGAUAAUACCUACCUCACAAAAUUAAUGAAAUAACAUUUAAAACUGUGCCUGACACCCAACAGAUGCUCACAGGACAUACUAGAAUAAGUAUUAAGUAACCCAUUUUAAAAGGUAAAUAAUUAGUUCUGAACAAAUCUAUAUUUGCCAGGAUUUUUUUUCCCACUAAAUAUGGACCUUGACUCAGAGCUUUCUCUUUCUUGCUCUUCAUGCCACCCUCCUGACAUUUACUGGUCAAGAUGUUUAGUAAUAUGAAUUUUAACAGGCUGAUCAUGGGUUUUUACAAGAGAUCAGAUAAAACUUAAUUUAUUUAUACUUUAUGAUUUAUGUCCAACUUUUAAAGUGUACUUGAGGUAGUUUACAAUGAAAGUCACAUAUGCAAUAAGUUGGUUGAAUAAUAAAGGGAAAAUUAAACCAUAGAGGAAGAAGGGAAAAUAAUUAUGCCCAAAAUCUGAGUUAAUUAUUACUGUAAUUGAGUAUUAAAUUUGUUUAAGGCUUCCUGGCAGCAAAAGGCAAAGAAAGAGGAAAUAUGAUGAAUGACAUCAUUCUCAAUGGCUGAAGUUUUUCUAUGAAACAGUGUAGCAAGGUUAUGAUGGGCUAGAAACCAUGCAGGGAUUAUGCUCCAUUCAGGAUGUAUGGUACGGAAGACUGGAGGGAAUUCUUUACUGGUUGGUGCCAGCCUUUUCUCAUGGCUUUAGCAACAGGUUGGACGACUGUGGUUUUAGAUGGCUUAGUGCAAUCUGACUGGAGCCCACAAACUGAGAUGGAAGACUUUUAAAAAAAAUAAUGUUUUAAAGUUUUUCAGUAUAAAAAAAUACACAUUUACUAAAGAAAAUUUGGAAAAUUUGAAAGAGUAUAAAGAAGAAAACACAAAUAUCCUUACAAUUCCACUGCUCAGAAAUAAUCAUUGUUAAUAUUUAGUAAACUUCCUUCCAGGCUUCUUUCUAUGCAUACUUUAUGAGCUGACUUGUUGCAGUUCUUUCUGGCUCAAUGAUUCUACAAAUUAGGUGGCCUUUGGCCCAAGUGGUUGUUGUGUUUAAUAAUAAAAAUAGCUACUGCUCAUAUAUUGUACAUCUGAUGUGCUCCAGACAUUCUAUUGGUGCAUUAUGUAGUCCCAGUCCUUCCAAGACCAACAGGCACAAGGAAGUUUUCCUAUUUGCAGAGAGGUUAUGUAAUUUGUCUAAAUCACAUGGAGUGAAAGGAGCAGCAAAACACAAAUCUGGGUGUGUCUGCACAGCAUAUUCUCUUUCUCCUACAAUGUGCUACUUCUCUGAGACCCAGGGGUGCCCCUGAUCCCUGCCACUUUGUUGUGACUCCUGGAAGUGGGAGUGCCAGAGUCUGACAUCAGCUCAGUUGGUUCAUGGGCCUCAAAUGGCCAGCCCAGAAAACAGAAGGAGCUCGCUCCUCCCCUACUCUCUCUUUCCUUUUGUCCCCUUCCCCCACAUCCCAGAGGUCAAGAAGCUAAACUGUCUAGGCUCCCAGGUUAGUUCAGGCAGCUGUUCAGAUGGCUUUUACUUUGAAAAAUACUGUAAUUCAAACCUCUUUCAUGGGGAUAAGGUUAAGAAAAAGUCAAGAAACUCAGUUCCAUUGUUUUCAGUCCCAACAAUACCAAAGAGCAUGUAGGCUUUUUCAUUUUGUUUCGUUUUUUGUUUUGUUUUGGUCAUCGUUAUUAUUGGGCUUUAUAAUUGAAACUUUGUGCGGAUGUAACUUUCUUCUUUCCUGAGCUCCCCGUUCUGCCCAGAAACUUCUCUCUUGGGCAAGUCACAGACCAAAGAGUCUUGCAGCAGUCCCAAGCAGCCGCUAAGAGUCACAGAUUCAGGCCGCACUGUUGUCAGGGCAGGCUGGCCACCACACCCAGAAGGGGAAGCCUGUUGUGAGUGGCCUCUGUCCAAAGCAAGCAGUGUCCCGUGUGCCAGGGGCCACUCCUGGCUGAAAAUGAACUAGUUUUCUCCUCUCUCCUUUACCACUUUCGGGGACCUAAGAACUGAAUCCAGAAGAACCAAGCGGCCUGAAUGUCAGAGGCUCUUGGUGGGCCAUGCAGUGGGCUGAGAUCCUCUGAGCAGAGGUCUUCCAUGCAGAGUGGUCUGCAGCAGUCUAGAUGAAUCAGGCUGGGUUGCCAGUGGGCGUGAGUCAGCAAUAAGAUGCCCUCUCCCCACUAUACUUGCAUAACUCUAAACACAGGCUUUGUCUUCCCUAACAAUCACUCAUCUGGCUGUGACACACUGGAGCCUGCUUCCUGGAGGACAUGUUCAUGGGAAAAAUAUUUUAAAAGAGGGUGUCCACACCUGAGCUUCAGCACUGUGUGCAACGGUAAUUCAUCUCAAUUGCUGGACGUAUAAUACGGUCACAUGUCGCUUAACGACACGUUCUGAGAAAUAUAUCAUUAGGUGGGUUUGUUGCUGUGGAAACAUCGUCCAGUAUACUUACACAACCUAGAUGGUAUAGUCUACUACACACCUAGGCUAUAUAGUCCUGUAUGUGGUCAGUUGUUGACCAAAACAUUGUUAUGUGGCACAUGACUAUAUGUGGCAAAGCACGAACAAGCUGGUUUUCCAAAUGACUUGCCUCAAGAUUUGGGACCCAUUUAAUAAUAACAACGAUAGAAACAACAGCAACAACAACAAUGAACAUUUUUAUAGCACUGAACAUGACCCAGACAGUUCACUAAGCACUUGACAUAUAUUAACUCAUGUAUUUUCCCCAUUUUACAGAUAAGAAAACUGAGGCGCUAUGAUGGUAACCAACUUUCCCAAUGUCACAGAGGUAGUAAGAACCUGAACCAGAGCCUCAGGAAUUCCAAUUUCUUAACCCAGCUCAGGAGUUUGACUUGGAUGUUCAUGUGAUGGAAUGGUGGAGGACAGAAGAAAAUUGUAAAUCACAAGUAUUUCCCAGUUGAUAACUUCUCAAACCCAAGAAUGGCUCAGGUUGGCUCCCGGCACUUGGCAUGUCAUGGUUCUAUCAUGCUAAUUCCAUAUGCCGGAGCUCAUUGAAGUUGUGGCUGGCUAUCUGGAAGGGGAGAAAAAUCCCCCAGACCCUGUGCUGGCUGGAAGUGUUUGGCAUUUGGGGCGAGUGUGGGUGUGAAAAGCAGCUUGUUGUAAUGCUAUAGGAUGUCUGGACCACACUAAGGAGAGGCCCUGGCAACACUGCUAAGAAAUGGAACAUCACUCGUCAAGAAGAGACCCCAUUGCAGGGAAACUCUGAUGGCUGAAGUGCUCAUAUGCAGGUGGGGCUUAGCCAGGAGAACCAUGAGAAUUCCCAGAUGGUCAGUGGGAAGGAUGCUAAGGUGACCACCAUGAUUUUCACUUCCCAGCUCAUGGGACAAUGUCCUCCAGGUCCUAUGACCUGAGGGUUGAAAACCCAGAUAACUUUGAAUUACUUUCUUAUUGCUGUUGUAAAAGUUACCACUAAUGGAAUGGCUUAAAGCAAGGAAAAUUUAUCUUAUAAUUCUGGAGGCCAAAAGUCUGACAUGGGUCUCACUGGGCUAAAAUUAAGACAUCUGGAAGGCGAUGUUCCUUUCUAGAGGCUCUAGAGGAACAUCCAUUUGCUUGCCUUUUCCAGCUUCUAGAGGUGGCCCUCAGUCCUCGGCUUAUGGCCCCUUCCAUCUCCAAAGCUGAUAAUGGCCCAUUGAGUCUUUCUUACAUCGCUUUACUGACAUUGAGUUUUCUGCCUCUCUCUUCCACAUACUGGGACCCUUGUGAUUAUGCUUGGCCAAGGACAAGCUUUCUAUCCCAAAGCCAACUGAUUAGCACCUUUUUUGCUUCCUUAAUUCUCCCUCACCAUGUAACAUAUGCACAGGUUCAAAGGAUCAGGACUUGGACGUCUUUGGGAGGCCAUUACUCUGCCUAUCACAGGCCACAGAUGGAAAGGGUGGAAACCCCUAUCACGAACAUUCUUGGCCCAGUUGAGGGCCUGCUAAGCAGCUGGUGGUCUCUGCCACAUGCUGGAGAGAAAUCGUUGGAGACCUGCCUCAGAGAAAACACUGGAAAUCACAUAAAUGGUUUUUAAAGAACUACAGCUACGUCCAUCUUCUUGAGUCAAAAAACUCAUUUCUGCUCCCUGUCAGAACCUAAAAAAGAACCAUCCUGUGGGGUCAAAUCAUUGACACAGGCAGCCUGGAAUCCUUCUGAACAGCGACUACAAGGGACAGUUUGUAGGAGAACGUGAGUUAACUCAGUUCUAAAAUCUCAGAAGAACGCAUCCAGAACAUUCCUUCAUCAUGCAUCUCGGAUCUGUUAGGCACAACUUCAAAGCCAGCUCGAGCCUGUGGGUGUGUUUAGCCUGUGUGUUUCCCAGGGCAGCAGCGUAGAACUCACAAUGUGCUUCUAUUUCUUGGUCUUGAACCAACCCGUCAGGAGUGUGGAGGAGUAAGGGCCCUAAUUUCAAGCCAGUCAGGGUUUACUCUGUCCAUAGAUUUAUCUUUCAUACUCUUCUCUGGCCAUCUCUCAGUUUCAGUCUGUCCAGCCUGAAAUGGUUUACUUUUUAAAUUUUGUGCAUGUUUUUAUCUUUUUUAUUUUUAAACUUUUGACAUGCAUAGCUCAUUUGAGGAUCGUGACAGCAGCUCUCUCUGUCGGUCGGUCAGGAGCAGUGCAGAUGCCAUGUGUGCCCUUGGGAAGGUGGCUUGACCUCUGUCUCAAUGUCCUUGUCUGCAAUAUAAGGAUAAUUACAGCACCUGCCACCGAGGGAUGACGUAAGGAGUGAGUGAACCAUGCAAAGCCCUUAGAACAGUGUCUGGUACUUGGUAAAGCUGUGAUACACCAUAGCUGUUAUUAUUAUCAAAAGAUUAAAUAAGACACAAACCUCUUUUACUGUCACAGAACUGGCCAUUUUGAUGCCACCAGACCAUUGAUAUUCACUCCAUUUUGAGCACGACAGACACAUUCCUAAGCAAUAUGCUUCUUUGUUUUGCUUUAUAGGAAUACAUUUGACCCUUGAACAACAUGGACUUGAACUGCCUGGGUCUACUUAUAUGUAGGUUUUUGUUUUUUCAACCAAACACAGAUAGAAAAUACAGCACUUGCAGGAUACAAAACCUUUGUGUAUGGAGGACAACUUUCCCUAUACUAAGGGGCAGUCCCCCACAUACACCAAGAGGCAUUCCUACAAAUGCUUUUUCUUGUAGUGGAGGGUAGACAUCAAAGCCCACUGUUGAGGGGGUAAAUGAUAGGCAGAUGGAAAGCCGGGCACUUAUGCCAGGGCCAAGAGAAAGCUCCUCUAUCCAGUUUGGGUUAGGGAUGUAAAUAAGGCAUAGUGGGUUCUCUCAGGGCUCUUUGGUGCUGGCUGUCUUCCUGAUUCUCACCCAAACUCAAAAGGGAACCUCCCAGACAGUGCUACGUUGCCUUCACAGUGAAUCAAAUCCUGUUAAUCCAAAAGGCCACCCCAGACAUCACGAACAGAUCUUGGCCAAGUCCAUUCUAAUCCAGCUUCAACCCCACCAUGCCCCAACUCCACUUUCCACUCUGCGCCUUGUGGCAGUGUUGAAUGUCAGGGAACUCUCCUUGGGGACUGUAAAAAAGCCCUCAGGCUUCCCAUCCCAGGGCAGGGCCACUUGCUCUCCUCUGCCCUCAUGCCUGGUAUCCGCUUUCUACUCUCAUCACAGCCUGCCUCUGAAUUGCCAGCUUCUACCACCAAGCCUGGAAGAACUUCAGGGACCAAGAACCUUAACUCCAAAUGGAACACAGGCCACAAAAAUUCCUCAAAUAUGUACACCAAAACAAAAGGGUCCCCGGGGAUUCACUUUAUCUUACCAAGUUUCAGCUGAAGGGGAAGCAUUCUAAUGGCAAGUAAGAAAAGCUGUCAGAGAACUGUUUUGUUCAACAUCAAAUGCAUUCCAGGCCUUAUUUAAUCAGGGAGCCCUCUUCACAGCUGAUGCAGAGGUUGUUCCUGCAAAUUGUUCCUGAGUCAGGGAGAGGAGCCUUGAUUUUCAAUGCAAAAUAAUGUUCUUUUGGCACAGGCAAAGUUGGUUGGCAGCUGGAGGUUUGGGGUGACCUCUGACCCUCUCCCACAGUUCCUCCCAAGUCCCACUGCACAAAACUAAGCCACCCUCAAAUCCCAGGCUCUAAUUGGCUCUUUGGUUUGUUUUGCUUUUCUCUUCUAUCCAGAGCUUCAAAAGGCACUUCGAUAAUUGUUUGAGGCAUGAAAAAGGCAGGUUUCAGCUUUCCUAACUGGAAUGGAGGUAAUUACUGUCUUCCACACACGAGCCGGUACAUGCUUGAAAUCAGAUGGCUCUGGGUUGUUUUAGAAAGUGUAGCUGGGCCUCUGAGCCAGGAGAGGGAGGAUUAUGGAGCCUUCCAGCGGCUCCAUUCCAGAGAGGGAGGAAUUCAGACAUCCCAGAAACGGUGAGGGUAACUUCCAUAUUUUUUUUGCAGUCUCUUCAAUUCUGCCCAAGAGAUUUGGCCUGAAAAGAUUGUGCCUUCAACCUCAUCCUGGAAAUUCAGGUAGCAUUUUUCGGUUUUCUCUCUCAGGAGACAGAAGCUGACACCCCACAUGACUCCCAUCUUGUCUGUAAUCAGCAACCAGGGCUUUGACCUGCACUGUCCUCCUUUCCAGCAGCAGAAAGGGGUCAAACUGAGCCAGGUCUAGUAAGAGCUAUCUCAGAGAACCAGAACACGGAUUUGCUUUUGUUCUCUCAGGACAGCAAACCCAAGGGAGGGCAGACUCAGGCUCACAUCCCACUCACACGGCCCUGAGUGUGGACUGGGAGCAAGACGCUGCUUCAAAUUUCAGCCUGCCAGCUGUGUGUCCACAGGCAGCUAACAAACAUCUCUCAUCCAGCCACAGCCUCACCCAGAGAAGAGUAACCGACCCAACCUUAUAGCGUUGCUGUGAAGUCAGUUAACAUAGGGCUGAAGUUUGCUGUGAAGUCACAGCAACCCUAUGUUAUGGUUAACUUCAUUUAACAUAGGGUUAAUGUAGGUUUAAUAUGAGGGGCUAACAAUUACAUAUAAAUGUUAGCUACUGUAAUUGUCAGAUGCAUGGCCACUGGUGCCAAAGGAACCACUCUGAAAAUUCUGGAGGUUUUCAAGACUCUGGGGAUUCAGAAAUGGAGGAAGAAAAGAAGCUGCUGCAGGAACAGUGCAGGGAAGCUAGAAGGGAACAGGGUGGCAGCCCCAGCUCAAAAGGUCUUCCCUCUCAAGGGCACCACCUGAAACGUAUAAGGUUGCCUGAAAUUCCACAGAUUAGACAUUUAGUUUUGCUUCUUUACAACAAUAUAUCUCAAAGAGAACUGGCUGGUUAAACAUUAUUCAUACAUCUGUGUGAACUGGUUUAUUUGCUCUCUUCCUAAUACCUACACACUUAGAAACUCCAGGGAGCAAAGAGCUUGGGUCUGAGUUAGGGACUAGGAAAGGAACAGAAAGUAAUAACUUAGAGUCAUGAAGCACUGUCCAAGACAUGGCCAGCUGUUCAGACUCUGAGAGCCCCAGUUCAAUUCACUGGCUGGCCUGCAGACAGCCUGCCUGGCUCAUGAGAAGGGAGGAGUGGGGAGUCAGGACCUGGAGGUCCUGAGGUGCUUUUCUGAUGUUGGUACUUUCACGUUGCCCACUCAUAAAAUACCCUUUGUAAAUGGCUUCUGGGACUCCCUCCUCUCUGGGAGUGCCUCCUUCGUGAGCUCUGCAUAUGGGUGGCCCAGAGAGCAGGCCCCAGCUGUUGCCUCUCCUCAGACAUUCCAUCCCUAUGACCUCAUCCAGGUGCGGGCUUGAGUCACCACUCCACUACAGACUCUCUUGAUUUGGAUAUUCAGUUGCCUACUUGACAUCUCCCUUUCAAGUACCUCAAACAAAACGCUCCAUGUGCCCUUACCCCUACCCCCUGCCACCCAAAACAAUCCAAACAAAAACUCCAUCAGCCUGGUCUCCAUGGACAUGUUCUUGAUGCAGUCAACCUUUCAGGACUAUUGACGUUUCUCUUUGUACCUUGUACUUUUCUUUCACAGCCCUUAGGACAAUGUAUAAUCACUUACUUAUUUUCAUAUUGACUUGUGUAAUACCUGUUUCCCAAUAGACUGUAAAAUUCAUGAGAAUGAGACCAGGUGGUUUGUCUCCUGUUCUUCCCCACACCCUAACUGGCACACAGUAGGUCCUCACUAUGUAUUUGUUGAAUGGAUAGUAUUAAAGUGAAGAUGGGUCCUAGGGUGAGGAAGAGUUUCUGGGCACAAAGAAAGGCCAUGAAACCUGGCAAAAAAUACAUAUGAGCUCAUAUCUUGUUUUCCUGAGGAGCUAUUUGGUUUCUUCCUCCUCCUAUUUGAUGAAGUUAUAUGUUUAAUUAAAGCCCUGAACAGUUAGAACAAAUGUAUAGGAAAUGAUCACAUGAUCAUGAACUUAGCAAACAGCUACAAGCUUAACUGUCUAAUAUGGGGAGUGCCUAAAUGAUAUGUAUCAAUAUGGUUGACUCUCAGUUAUCCAUUCCAGUGGAUAAUCUAAUAGCCAGUAAUCUAAUAGUUCAUAAUUUACUUGCCUAUAAUCCCAUAAGUUUUACAUGUGGCUUUGGAUUAUGUUUUGGAAUUUGCACCAGGGUAUGGGGGCUCUGAUGGUUUAGGAAUUCACAGUACUUUGAGCAUAUAUGUCCUAUGUCACUACCCCAGUUGCCCAUUAAGGAUUCCUCUGGGUUCCAACUGCAUGUGGAAAAAAUACUGCAUUGUGCUUAGGAGGAAAGUGCAUUGGUCUUUGUUUGUUUGUUUGUUUGUUUUGUUUUGGCUGUAAAAAUUGGGGUCCAAACCCCAGCUCUUGCAUUUACUAACUAGCUCUGUUUUCACACUACUUGUCCCCGUCUAAACCACUCCCUCAGGCAGGUGCAAAACAAGGCGAAAGCAGAGUUAAGCUCCUUAUGAACUUUCUGUUUUACAUCUAGGCAAAGAAACGUUCUCUCUUCUCCUUUUUUUCUCUUUUUCUUUCUGCCUUAGAAGACCUUCUCUUCCAGCUCAGUGGGAUGAAGUCAACAAGGUCUUUGCUUUACAAAAUCAUGCCUGAUUGGGAAAGAUCCUGAAAAUGUCUAGACAAAUCUGAAAGAAAAAUGCUGUCCUGGGCAAUCUAAUACAGAAAACUGACUCUGGGCUUUCCCUGGGCUCCACUGGUCCCACCAAUGGUGCAAAUGACGGUGACUUUCUCCACGUUCUACAUACAUCUGGGCAUUUGCUCAUGCUGUCUUGGGUCAAAGUCUCAAGUUGGAAAAUGGAUUCAUCCUGAGAUCCAAGGCAGAACCAGUCGUGUUGUCAGUGGGUAGCUGAGACCCCAAAAUUCCCACCUCUUUUCCUGUCAUGAAGUUUCUAUCUCGAGAGAAAACAGCUGUCCAUUCUUAGGCCAACUGGGACUGAAGCCAGCUGUUCCUUCCAGAUGCCAAGAGUCAGAUGCACGCCCACUCUUUUCUCCUAUUCCCUAAGGCUGAAGUCUCAAACUUUAUUGAAUUUAUUAAUAACCUCAGGGACUUGCUAAAAAGCAUUUCCCCAGGCUCUACCUCCAGAGAAUCUGAUUCAGUUAAUUCAGGUUGGCCAGGAAAUCUGCAUGUUAAAUAACAACCCUCCUGCCCCACCUCAUUUCUGAUCUCUAGGAAAUUCCUAUGUAAUUGGUCUGAGAAUCAUACUUUGAGUGACAAUAGCCACAGUGGAGGCACUGGUGUGCCGGUAAAUGUUUAACAACUGGCUCUGGAGGUGGAAAAGCCUGGUUUGUAGCUUGCUGAUUUCUGUGGUAUAAAUAUUCCCACCUUGGUCAACUCAAGCUACAAAUAUGACAUCAUGAUUGUGAAGUUGGGAAAAGGUUUGUGCAAUCAGUUCUGAUAAGCCCAUAGUAACUGAUUUCAGCAUGCCCACUGGGUGGAAGUGGCCGGAUGCCUCCAAAUGCUGGUUCCUAGGCUCUGGCAUAGAAGGGCCACUGUUUGGUCCAGAAUGUCACAUCCCCUAAUUUUUUUUCCCUAAAUCCUUCGUUUUUUGAAUGGUUUGUUUUGGUUACUGGCUCUCGGAGACCUUGAGGGGUUCCAAGCCAGAGAACAAAGAAGGGGAAGAGAAGGAGCUCCAAGAAAGAAAAUGCAAUUAGUGUAGGAUGUUGGCCUCAGCUACGCUGCUAACCUUGUUCAACCCAGCUUUCAGCAGGGAAGGGGUUUCAAACACCUGUCUCUGCCUUCAUUUGAUAAGCUUUCUGGUCAAGUCACAUUAACCUGAUCCUGCUGACCUGGAGAAGGAUGAAAAGGCUGAGUGUCGGGGACCUGAGGGGAUGAAAGUGGAUGGGGGAGGCCUGGGGGGGGGGCUCAUAUGACCUGGGGUCACCAUCGGCUUAAGGCUUCCCCUUUGUCUCCCUGCUCUGGCCCCAUGUUUGAAGGUUCUGGUGAUUUCCUCCCGCCCCCCGACUAGGCGAACAGAUGUGGAAAGAUCUCCAGUUCCCAGGGCUCAGGACACAACUGCCUGUUGUUUCCCGCCUGCAGACCGGGGCCUGCAGUCACAGGCAGAACAGCUACGCAAUCACUUGCCAAAGAGCUGAGCCCAGUCAGGUGUGGGGUGCAAGCCUACUCUGCCUUUUGGGAGUGAGAGGAUGUGUAAGCCUAGCUGAACAAGAAUGGAAAACAACCAUGUUCCCGCCCUGUUGUGCUCUAAGUUCACUGUGUAGGAAUUCAGAGGCACUUUAGCAGAGGCAAUGACUUGAGCUCUUCCACGGCAAUACAAUGCUCACAGGUGCCAUGACCAUUUGAACAAACGCUGCCUUCUGGGCCAGCUGCUUCUCUUGUCCCACACUGCAGGUACUGCCAACGUGAGAACUUUGCCCACUUCUAGACUGGAGUUGAGGGCACCCUGCUACUCUAAAAAGGAUGUUUUCCUCAGCCCACUGAGCUUUCAGGGCUCACUAGAUCAAGGCGGUAGAAGAGUUACAAAGGAAGGGGUGCAAGUGUUAGCUUCCUUAUGUACCUUAUUUAUUCAACACUGAUAGUUUCAGAAAUGGCUUAGAGCCUAGCUUCCUCACCAAUAUCCAUAUACCUUUGACAAGUGGGACAAAUAAAAGCAUAAAAAUAUCUCCCUUAAAUAAAACGCCUUUCUCAUAUCUAGUCCAUCUACAAGAAUAAGCUGAUACCUAAUGAUAUGUUUUCUAGUUUAUGCAAUAAAUGGUGGUGAUUACAAUUUUGCACAAAGACCUGGUACAUAUACGUCUUAGCAUGUAGCACAUUUACCUGUAAAUGCUACAAGUAGCAGAAUGACAGCCAUCUCCCUAAAGCACUGAUUCUCCAAGUGAGGUCUGCAGUCCCCUGGGAUCCCUGAGACCCUAUCAGGGUGUCUGCAAGCUCAAAAUUAUUUUCAUAAUUUUGAUAAUAUUUCAUAAUAAUACCAAGAUGUUAUUUGCCUUCUUCACUGUGUUGACAUCUGGGUAAAAUUGCUGGUGCUAGACUAUGCUGGCAGUCACGGCAUUCUUCACUGCUACAAACUUACAGGGGGAAUAAAUGCCAGUUUCACCAAAGAAUGUCCUAAAUUAGACAGUAAAAAUUAUUAAUUUUAUAAAACCUUGCCCAAAAGGUACUUUUUCUCUCCUCCCCUCCUCUCCCCUCUCUGCCUCCCUUCCCCUUCCCCUUCCCUUUCCUUUCCUUCCCUUCCCUUCCCUUUCUUUUCUUUGUGUGAUGACUUGGAAACAAAGUAUCAAGCAUUUCUGGUGCAUCCUGAAGUAUGAUGGUCAUCUGGAGGAAAAGCACUUGUGUGAGUGUCCUGAGUUGUGAUCUGCACUAGUCACUUUCAUGGAACACAAUGUUUACUCAAAAGGACCAAAUAACCAUAGUUAUUCAGAUUUGGUUAUUUGACAGGCAUUUUCUCAAAAAUGAACAAACUGAGCUCAUCACUUCAAGAAAGACAAUAAUUAACAGUAUUUUCUGCCAAAAUAGAAGUAUAAAGCAAAAAUUAGAAUUUUUAGAAACCUGUAUCUGCCAUAGUGAACUUAACACCUUCCCAACACUUACAGAGGUUUUUGAUGAGAUCAGUGAUAUUAACAAAUAAGAACUUUUAGUUUUCAUCAAGAAAUAUAUCAAAUUUGAAAAAUCUGCAUGACUUAGUGAAGCAAUAUUUUCCAAAUGACCCAUGCAUAUUAUUUCAAAAUCAUGCAUGAGCAAAAGAUCUAUUCAGAGUACAAGCCAGAUAACUGAAUUUUAACAUAACUGAGCACAAAAAGUUCAUUGAUAUAGUUUCAGAUUCCACAUUGCAACUAACCUUAGUAAUCUACUAUUGGUUGAGUUUUGGUAUAAUGUCAAAGAAGAAUAUUCACAAUUAUCUGAAAAGACUAUUAAAAUAUUCCUCCCUUUUCCAACAAAAUAACUACGUGAGGCUGGGUUUCCUUCGCAUACUUUAUCCAAAACAACAUUAUCACAGCUGAUUGAAUGCAGAAGCCGAUAUGAGAAUCCAGCUGUCUUCUAUUAAGCCGGACAGUCAAGAGAUUUGCAAAAAUGUAAAACACUGUCACUCUUCUCACUUGGAUUUUUUAAAAAAGUUAUUUUUAUAAUAAAAUGUUAUUUUUAACGUUUAAA